GAUGAACGCUGGCGGCGUGCCUAAUACAUGCAAGUCGAGCGAACAGACGAGGAGCUUGCUCCUUUGACGUUAGCGGCGGACGGGUGAGUAACACGUGGAUAACCUACCUAUAAGACUGGGAUAACUUCGGGAAACCGGAGCUAAUACCGGAUAACAUGUUGAACCGCAUGGUUCAACAGUGAAAGCCGGUUUUGCUGUCACUUAUAGAUGGAUCCGCGCCGCAUUAGCUAGUUGGUAAGGUAACGGCUUACCAAGGCAACGAUGCGUAGCCGACCUGAGAGGGUGAUCAGCCACACUGGAACUGAGACACGGUCCAGACUCCUACGGGAGGCAGCAGUAGGGAAUCUUCCGCAAUGGGCGAAAGCCUGACGGAGCAACGCCGCGUGAGUGAAGAAGGUCUUCGGAUCGUAAAGCUCUGUUAUUAGGGAAGAACAAAUGUAUAAGUAACUAUGCACGUCUUGACGGUACCUAAACAGAAAGCCACGGCUAACUACGUG
Molecule: ribosomal RNA, 497 nt
Filed under: uncultured bacterium
Lineage: Bacteria
Description: partial 16S ribosomal RNA
Rfam family: Bacterial small subunit ribosomal RNA
Source: RNAcentral